GGCCUAUUAGCUCAGUUGGUUAGAACGUCUUAGCAUGCGAAGGUCGUAGGUUCGAGACCUGCAUAGGCCU
Molecule: transfer RNA, 70 nt
Filed under: Phaseolus vulgaris (common bean)
Lineage: Eukaryota; Viridiplantae; Streptophyta; Magnoliopsida; Fabales; Fabaceae
Rfam family: tRNA
About the family: Transfer RNA (tRNA) molecules are approximately 80 nucleotides in length. Their secondary structure includes four short double-helical elements and three loops (D, anti-codon, and T loops).
Source: Rfam by way of RNAcentral